Molecule: ribosomal RNA, 406 nt
Filed under: uncultured bacterium
Lineage: Bacteria
Description: partial 16S ribosomal RNA
Rfam family: Bacterial small subunit ribosomal RNA
Source: RNAcentral
AUUGAACGCUGGCGGCAGGCCUAACACAUGCAAGUCGAACGAGUGGCGGACGGGUGAGUAACAUCUGGGAACGUGCCUCACAGUGGGGGAUAACUACUCGAAACGGUAGCUAAUACCGCAUACCAUUAGAUCGGCCCAUAUUGGAUUAGCUGGUGGGUGGGGUAACGGCGCACCAAGGCGACGAUCCCUAGCUGGUCUGAGAGGAUGACGAGCCACACUGGAACUGAGACACGGUCCAGACUACUACGGGAGGCAGCAGUGGGGAAGAUUGGACAAUGGGGGCAAGCCUGAUGCAGCAAUGCCGCGUGUAUGAAGAAGGCCUUCGGGUUGUAAAGAACUUUUAUCGGGGAGGCGUUACCCGCAGAAGAAGCACCGGCUAACUACGUGCCAGCAGCCGCGGUAAUAC